This is a non-coding RNA of Acanthosepion pharaonis, 82 nucleotides long. NCBI's taxonomy places the organism in Eukaryota, Metazoa, Mollusca, Cephalopoda, Sepiida, Sepiidae. The record is from the annotation of a GenBank genome assembly.
CCUCACGUUCACCGAAGUUAAGCAAUGUCGAGCCUGAUCAGUCCUUGAAUGGGAGACCACUUGGGAAUACCAGGUGCUGUAA